GGUUAAACGAAGCAGCACCGCAUUAAAGACUUAUUCAACACAUGGUUGACUUCUUGUAUUACUUACAGUAGCCAUGGAGUUAAAUCCUUGUUUGCUUUCAUGAAAUCCACUGAUUCAAUUGAAGCGCGUGCAAUUCGGCUGGACUGUACUUAGCGAAACUGGGACAGCAGCAAUUUGUGCCUCCGCAUCCGCCGUCCACAAUGAUCUAUAUAGCCACAUCCUCGCUGCCAGAUAUAGCCGCAUUCGGAGCCACAGUAGUCAGCGCGCCAGCGUUUCACAAUGGUGGCCCAUGUUUAUGGCUUUGGCUGUUGCUGAAUGCCUCGAUUGGUCAGCUGGGCUCCCCCGCUCGAAACUGAAACGGGUAGCAUGUUUGGAAAAAAAGGGCAGCAGCACUAGGAAAAACUAUUGUGAGCAUCGACAAAGAUUUACGAGUCGCAUUUAUGGCGAAACUUUGGCCCAGACUCGCACACUGGAUGAGUAAUGCCUGCUUGUGUAAUUGCCAACAUACAUCAAUUGUUAGCAGCCAAUUUGGCAAUCGAUAUAAAAAAAUACGCGUGCGAUGACCAUUAACACAUAAUCAUUGCCCCAAGGCGGUGGCUGGCAAAAAUCAAGUGGCGAUCUGUGGGCGCCGAAGGGGCAGUUAAAUCCGAAGGACCUUCAUUAAACUGCCAGCAAAUCCAGCCAUGUGUAUACCGGCGAGUGUCCUUCGCAUCAAGGAUGUGCCCGCAUCGCAUUCGCAUUCGCAUUCGCAUUCUCAUCGCUGCUCGUAUCCGUGUGCCUGGUUUGCUGGCCGUCGUGUAAUCGCAAAUAAUCAUCCACUUAACGUCGUGAAACUUUAUGCCGGAGAUGGCCCAGCCAGGCCCUUAGCUCGGCCUCCAUCCUCCAGCCGCCAUCCUUGAUGGUCCGGAGCCAUCUGCUUCCUCCCUUGGAGUCAGCACAAUGUGACCGGGACUUGGACACGGACUCGGACUUGGACAGUGCCAGUCAUAAUAAUGUUUAUUAUGUGUAUGCUUUCUGGCAAUGGAGUAAAGCGUUUGUUUGUGCACAGAGAGAAAAGUGCACUAGUAAGUUGAUCUUUAUUGCGAUAAUAUGAUAUAUGAGAUAAUAUGAUAUAUGAGAUAAUAUGAUAUAUGAGAUAAUAUGAAAUAUGAGAUAUGAUAUAUUAUUUAAUAUAUAUUCUUAACCUAAGAUACUUCACUGAUAAAUUCGCAUUUAUAUAUAGUAAAAAUCGAGGUGUAGUGAGUUUUUCUCUGUGUAUCCCCACAAAGGACACGAAUGGCCCCAAAAUCCUCUAAAGGAGUGGUUGUGUAUCUCUGCACUUGACAAGUGAAACGGGUAGCUGGGCCUGCGUAUUUUUAGAGCCACUCGUUUGACUGGCAAAACAAUCCGAGGCCGGGCAUCACAUCAAACAUGAAUCCACGGGCAGAGCAGGCCGUAGCAGUAGUAGAAAGGUGCCUCUUAAAGGCGCCCUUAAAUUCCAGCUGUUGGCCAUAAAGCAGCAGCCAAGUAGGAAGUGAAGCCAUUUCUAGCGCAUCCUGGCCAACGGCAACGAACAUCCUGCGCCAGAAAUUGUAAAUUUUCGCUGCUCGACAAACAAAAGCGCAGCAGGAUGUGCAAGGCAAACAGUUGCUGAAUUUUAUUGUCAGUGGAUGCAGCCAGUGGAUGUCGCUCCCAAUCCAGCGAGGGAGUAACUUUUGGUCCGAUCUCCGGCUAAUGCCUUUAACUGGUCCGCUUGGCCGUGGCUCAAUAGAUUUUAUUUUUUGUGCGACUGAACUGGAAAACCGAAUGACCAACAAAUCAAAUAGC
Molecule: non-coding RNA, 1806 nt
Organism: Drosophila melanogaster (fruit fly)
Lineage: Eukaryota; Metazoa; Arthropoda; Insecta; Diptera; Drosophilidae
Source: Ensembl